This 37-nucleotide small RNA is filed under the name Listeria monocytogenes serotype 4b str. LL195. The record is from RNAcentral. Lineage: Bacteria; Bacillati; Bacillota; Bacilli; Caryophanales; Listeriaceae.
GGUGCAACUCACCUUAUCCAAGCUGGUUUUGAAACAC